CCCCAGGGAUGUCAUUAUAUCUGGGUUUCGCUUUUCAUACAGAAAUGGAGUUCUAGAAACUUCCAUGCAGCUUCCUACCAAAAUACACCUUCCUCCAUGGGUCAGAUUACAACUGUGACUAUGCCAAUUGCUGAUGAUAACUAGUCUCCAAUAUACUUGGGAACCAAGGAAAUACACAUGAUGUAGAUGAAGACCCAGCUGGGACUACUUUGAGGUUGGAGAAGCAUGGCUGGGAAGUCAUGGAGGCAGAGACCUACACCCAUCCCCCUGCAGGAAUCACUGCUUAGCAAGCCAUGCUAGGGCAUUCACCCCUGGAGCCACGUCACCACAGCUGAAAAUAUCACUGAAGCGGUGGCCACAGACCAUGCACCAUUGAGCUCUGCUGAAAAGGUGGUGUGAAUCACAGGACUGAUGCUGCCUCUGCUUAUGUGAAGCUUCAGAGACUCAGAAACAUCACCAGGACUUGGCUAAUGCCACCCAAAGAAUGUCUUCUUGGACACGUUAGAGGGGAAAAUCUUUGGGAUGUGUUUAGUUGGAGCACAACUAUAAGUGGAGAUGGACUGAGCACCCUGCAUGCCAUUCAGGUCAAGUGGUGAAGAGCCUUAUUUAAACAGACAAACAAACAAGAUCUAGAAACAACCAUUUAAGUGACUGGAUUGAGCAUGCACAGUUGCAAACUUGAAGAUGAAGCUCAUACCCACCUGUGCUAAAAGGAGCCUGAGUUGCUGAGAAUUUGAUAGAGUGAAACCAUCAUUCCAACCACAGGCAGCAUAACGUGGUUCAUUUAGAUCCCUCCCUCAGGGUUGGAUAUCUCAGGAGAAACAUUUUAAUCAGUUCCCCAAGAGGAAUAGAGAAGCCUCCAUGAUCCACCUGUGCUGGAACCAGAGGAGAGAGAAAGGAGUCAGUACUGUUCAUACCUGGAGCAAAGUUUUCUGAAAAAUGUUCUGGAAUAUUUCUGACUUUCUCCUUUGAUAAGUGGCGAUGCUGGAGCCAGAGAACCACUUCCUCCCGAAGACACACAUUUAGGCAAGAGCAAGAAACCGGAAGCUGUGCAGCAGAAAGAAGAAAAGCACAAAAGGCACAUGGCUCCCACAUUUUGGAAGAUUUCCCAGGAAAGUAUUUUUUAAAUAAUAUAGAUGGCCAGAACUUGGUCACAUGGUCACAUGUGGCUGCAAGAAAGACUUGCUGAUAUAAUCUUAUGGAUAAGCAUAUUACCAGGUUAAACAGAUUCCCUUAUCUAUCCAUGGGAGAAGAUGUUCUACAUUCCUUCAACUCUCUCUUGAACAUAAUAUUUUCUUUCUUAUUGAAGUUUUUUAAAAAGAGUUUAUUUCUUUAGAGUAGAUUUAAUUCACAGCAAAACUGAAGAGAAUGUACAAGAGAUUUUCUAUAGAGGCGUGCCCCCUCAUGUGUAUAGCCUACACCACUGCAAACUUCCCUGGCCAGAGUGGUACCUUUGUUACCACAGAUGAACCUGCAAGCAUGCAUCAUCACCCAAAGUCCACAGUUUAUGUUACGGCUCACUCUUGGUAUUGUGCUUUCAAUGGGUUUGGACAAGUGUAUUCAUCACUGUGGUCUGAAAUCCUCUGUUCUUCCUGUUCUUUCCCUUCUCUGAUAGCAAA
This is a non-coding RNA of Odocoileus virginianus texanus, 1619 nucleotides long. The record is from RefSeq and is a predicted model, not a curated record. NCBI's taxonomy places the organism in Eukaryota, Metazoa, Chordata, Mammalia, Artiodactyla, Cervidae.